CUUCAAUUGUUUGAAUGACAGCAUUUGCUACCAUGGAAACCCUUAAAUGAGGAAGAUUGAUUUUUGAAGACAAAAAGUCUGGAAGAUGAUAUGAAUGUGGUUUUCUUACUUUUAAACAUCGUGUAAAUGUGAUGACUGCAGAUUUGGUAGCAGAAUAUACAGGAACAAAUGACAAAGAGGCCAAGUGCAAAGUAUUAGAUUACACACCUGACAUCGAAGAGAUAUUGAUAAUUUCACCCCCAAGGUUGCCUUUGUUUUUGUCCAUCAUGUCAAUUGCAAGCAUUGUAGCUCUUAUAACUGCUUUCUUAACAAGAUAGAAUGUAACUAAUGAAUGUCUAAUAAACCUCAAUGAUGAUGAGUUGAUAAAUAUUUCAAAAA
Xenia sp. Carnegie-2017 is the source of this 378-nucleotide long non-coding RNA. RefSeq lists it as uncharacterized. Lineage: Eukaryota; Metazoa; Cnidaria; Anthozoa; Malacalcyonacea; Xeniidae. The transcript is spliced from 3 exons. The record is from RefSeq and is a predicted model, not a curated record.